This 520-nucleotide ribosomal RNA is filed under the name uncultured Glomus. RNAcentral's name for it is "SSU rRNA". It matches the Rfam family "Eukaryotic small subunit ribosomal RNA", at positions 569 to 1088 of the family's 1831-position model. Lineage: Eukaryota; Fungi; Glomeromycota; Glomeromycetes; Glomerales; Glomeraceae. The record is from RNAcentral.
AGCAGCCGCGGUAAUUCCAGCUCCAAUAGCGUAUAUUAAAGUUGUUGCAGUUAAAAAGCUCGUAGUUGAAUUUCGGGGUCUGUCCAUUGGUCGGGCUUCACGGUCCGUACUGGUGAGAUGGGUUCCUACCUUCUGAAUAACCGGCAUGCCAUUCAGUUGGUGCGCUGGGGAAGCAGAGCUAUUACCUUGAAAAAAUUAGAGUGCUUAAAGCAGGCUAUUGCUUGAAUAGAUUAGCAUGGAAUAAUAAAAUAGGACGGCAUGGUUCUAUUUGUUGGUUCUAGGAUCACCGUAAUGAUUAAUAGGGAUAGUUGGGGGCAUUAGUAUUCAAUUGUCAGAGGUGAAAUUCUUGGAUUUAUUGAAGACUAACUUCUGCGAAAGCAUUUGCCAAGGAUGUUUUCAUUAAUCAAGAACGAAAGUUAGGGGAUCGAAGACGAUCAGAUACCGUCGUAGUCUUAACCAUAAACUAUGCCGACUAGGGAUCGGACGAUGUUAAUUUUUUAAUGACUCGUUCGGCGUACCG